This 28-nucleotide non-coding RNA is filed under the name Mus musculus (house mouse). Lineage: Eukaryota; Metazoa; Chordata; Mammalia; Rodentia; Muridae. The record is from RNAcentral.
UAAAACAUUGGCAACCCUAUGUUGGUCC